UGGGGAAUAUUGGACAAUGGGCGAAAGCCUGAUCCAGCCAUGCCGCGUGUGUGAAGAAGGCCUUUUGGUUGUAAAGCACUUUAAGCGAGGAGGAGGCUACUUAGAUUAAUACUCUAGGAUAGUGGACGUUACUCGCAGAAUAAGCACCGGCUAACUCUGUGCCAGCAGCCGCGGUAAUACAGAGGGUGCGAACGUUAAUCGGAUUUACUGGGCGUAAAGCGUGCGUAGGCGGCUUCUUAAGUCGGAUGUGAAAUCCCUGAGCUUAACUUAGGAAUUGCAUUCGAUACUGGGAAGCUAGAGUAUGGGAGAGGAUGGUAGAAUUCCAGGUGUAGCGGUGAAAUGCGUAGAGAUCUGGAGGAAUACCGAUGGCGAAGGCAACCAUCUGGCCUAAUACUGACGCUGAGGUACGAAAGCAUGGGGAGCAAACAGG
This 430-nucleotide ribosomal RNA is filed under the name bacterium. RNAcentral's name for it is "partial 16S ribosomal RNA". It matches the Rfam family "Bacterial small subunit ribosomal RNA", at positions 355 to 776 of the family's 1533-position model. The record is from RNAcentral.